AAGAAUUAGUUAAAUUAACAUUAGUAUGUCAUGCUAAAAUUAUUAGUCAUAACCUAGUAUUCUUUG
RNAcentral lists this transfer RNA (66 nucleotides) under Lednia tumana. Its description in RNAcentral is "tRNA-Asp". The record is from RNAcentral. Lineage: Eukaryota; Metazoa; Arthropoda; Insecta; Plecoptera; Nemouridae.